UAACACAGGUUGAUUGCGGCAAUGUAUC
RNAcentral lists this small RNA (28 nucleotides) under Bombyx mori (domestic silkworm). RNAcentral's name for it is "ovarian small RNA-5617". Lineage: Eukaryota; Metazoa; Arthropoda; Insecta; Lepidoptera; Bombycidae. The record is from RNAcentral.